GGGACGGCAGAGCCUGGUGGGCUGCUGUCUAUGGGGUCGCACAGAGUCGGACACGACUGAUGUGACUUAGCAGCAGCAGCAGCUAACGUGAUCAGCUAGUGAAUUUAGAAAUCUUAGGCUGAGAAGUAUUACAGGCUUAACGGCUUGAGACCUUUUCAAUGCUAGUUUCAAAUAUAUUAAAGUUGCAUUUCUUUUGUUAUAAAGUAAGUUAUCUAAGAUCAGGAAGUUUGACUUUGAACGUUUUCUUUAAAUUUUAAAAUACAACUCAACCCACAUUACAAUGGGUGAUGGAAGGGUUUUUAAGUCUGUAUAUUUUGUUAUAUAUAGGCCUUAACUUCUAGGCAUCUCAUUUGGAUAUUAAUUUUUGUACUAGAGCAAGUCCUAAGUUGCUUUUGGAGCAAAGUUAUGACUGUAGUUCUGUAACUUUAGACCUACGGUGGCAGAUGACUUGGGUUUUCAACACCAGAUGGUAAUACUCAUUGCCUUAAGUUGAGAUCCUCCUUCCCAUUUGCAGAACUACCUCUCUGGGCUAAGACUUCAUAUCUCCCACAUAGGUUCAGGGCAUACCUCUAUGAUAUGAACCAUAUUCUACAUCCUACUGCCAGAAUAAUCAACUUUGAAACCUCCUUCAGUCACUUCACGCCUUUAUAAUCCUACAGUGAUUUCUCAUUGUACUAAAUUUAAAUCCUUCAACAUGUAGUUGGGAGCCCUCUCAAAAAUUUCCCUGUAGUAAAGGCAUCUUCAUUCAUUCAUUCAAGGGGAGGAAGAAAUAUUUAUAUAUUGAGUAUCAGGUGCUAGAGGUUUUUAUUCCUUACACCCUUAGCAGGAAGACAAUAUCACUAGUUAAUAAGUAACCGACCCAGGAGUAGAGAACUUUAAAAGCUUGACUAACGUCACUGGCUUUUGUCUAAUAAUUUCCAUGCUUUUUCCCCUACACCAUACUUCCUCUCAUUUUGCAAACACUGACUGGCUUUCUAUUCUGUGCCAAAACUGAUGUUAGGCGUUAGGAUAAGAAGACAAAUGAAACACUGAGAUUAUAUAUAUGAAAAUGCAUUUAAAAUUUUAAGGCAUUUUGUGUCAUUGAUUCUUCUUAAUCAGAACACAUUCAAUCUAGUGGUAGAAACUAGGAGAAAUAAUUCUGUUAUCUUAAUUUCUCUUGCUUGCUUUUACCUCCUUUGCCAAGCCUGUCUUUCUACACUUAGAUUCAAACUUCCACCCUCUGAAGUUUGGCCAUUUAUCUAGUCAUUCAGAUUCUUCCAUAUCCUUUAAAAUUAAUUUAUUCAACAAACAUUUAUAAGGGGGGUAUUGUAUUCAAAGCUCCAUGCUAGGUUAAUGGUGGGGAUACAAAAAUGAACAAGACCAGUCAAGUGGAAGAGAUAUACAGUAACUUCAGAGCAAUGUGAGAAGAACUGAAAAGGAUUAUGAGAUUGUGGGGAAAACAGCUGUGAGACUACGGGAAGGGAGGGACGGAGUGAUCAGAGAUGAAGAAACGCUCUUCAGAUAGGGGGAAAGAUAGAAGUAUGCUCCAGACAGAGUGAAGGCAGGUGUGGAGUGGCAGUGGUGCUUGGACGUCAGGAAAGUUCAGCGGGGCUGGAGGCCAUGGCUCAGGGGCAAGCCAGAGAAGCUGAGGCAGGAGCUGGGGAAUCUCUGCUUUUUCUUUUUUCCCUUCCAAUACAGGACUAUGACCUAGGAUUGGAACUUUGUUCUAGAAAGAUGGCUUCAAGAGACCCUUUGGGAGUAUUUGGGAAAAGAAGUCAAUGAGGGCCGAGGGCCCCAAUGCAUAGACUCAUCAUUACUCCUCUCAUCUGCAAAAAGAACCGCAAAUUUCAUGAGAAAAGGAGUUAUUUCUCAGUAUUCUUUUAUGUUCUUCAGGCUUGAAUACAGUACUAUGUACAAUAACUUUAUCUGACAAAUGGUUUUUAUGUAUUUUUUAGAUCAAUGAAAGUAGUAUGUUGCAUCUGGUUGCUACCUCGUCCUGCUUUGUAGCCUAAUCGGUUCAGUUCAGUCCCCCAGUUGUGUCAGACUCUUUUCAACCCCAUGAACCACAGCACGCCAGGCCUCCCUGUCCAUCACCAACUCCCGGAGUUCACUCAAACCCAUGUCCAUUGAGUCGGUGAUGCCAUCCAACCAUCUCAUCCUCUGCCGUCUCCUCCUCCUGCCCUCAAUCUUUCCCAGCAUCAGGGUCUUUUCCAAUGAGUCAGCGUAUAUAACAAUGUAGCCUAAUAACUGAGGCUGCUGCUGCUACUGCUGCUGCUAAGUCGCUUCAGUCGUGUCUGACUCUGUGCGACCCCAUAGACGGCAGCCCAUCAGGCUCCCCAUCCCUGGGAUUCUCCAGGCAAGAACACUGGAGUGGGUUGCCAUUUCCUUCUCCAAUGCAUGAAAGUGAAAAGUGGAAGUGAAGUUGCUCAGUUGUAUCCAACUCCUAGCGACCCCAUGGACUGCAGCCCACCAGGCUCCUCCGUCCAUGGGAUUUUCCAGGCAAGAGUACUGGAGUGGGGUGCCAUUGCCUUCUCUGAUAACUGAGGUUAACUGUAAUUAUUUAGAAUACCUGGGAAGCUAAAAGAGAGACUGGCCUCUUUGGGAUGACUUCUACUUACUUGUCUGCCUGGAUAAUUUGAGGGGUGACAUGGGAUGCAGUCAGUUUACCAUUUUGAGUCUAUACAACAGGAUACAUUACAUUUGGCUUAAUUAGUAUAAACACUGCUGCUGCUGCUGUUAAGUCGAUUCAGUUGUGUUCGACUCUCUGCGACCCCAUAGACCGCAGCCCACCCGUCCCGGGGAUUCUCCAGGCAAGAACACUGGAGUGGGUUGCCAUUUCCUUCUCCAAUGCAUGAAAGUGAAAAAUGAAAGGGAAGUCGCUCAGUCGUGUCCGACUCUUAGCAACCCCAUAGACUGCAGCCUACCAGGCUCCUCCACCCAUGGGAUUUUCCAGGCAACAGUACUGGAGUGGGGUGCCGUUGCCUUCUCCGAAUAUAAACACAGCAGUUACCUAAUGAGUCCUACUGUGCCUUAUGCAUUAUACUCUGUUUGAUACAGAAAUACAGACAGGAGUAAGGAACAGUCUCUGCUCUUAGGAGCGCGUAUUGGGCACCGAAAAGGGGAAACAUACACUGUAACUUUGGUAUUAAUAUAAUAAAAUCUCUUAAUGCUAUGUGAAUGGUAUGAACAAAGUGCUGAGGGAAAUAGAGAAAGGAGGUGACAGAACAGCUCACAAGGUUGUGGGGAUUUUAAAAAAGUUCAGUUCAGUCGCUCAGUCGUGUCCGACUCUUUACGACCCCAUGAACCGCAGCACGCCAGGCCUCCCUGUACAUCACCAACGCUCGGAGUUCAUUCAAACUCACGUCCAUCGAGUCGGUGAUGCCAUCCAGCCAUCUCAUCCUCUGCCGUUCCCUUCUCCUCCUGCCCCCAAUCCCUCCCACCAUCAGAGUCUUUUCCAAUGAGUCAACUCUUCGCAUGAGGUGACCAUAGUACUGGAAUUUUAGCUUUAGCAUCAUUCCUUCCAAAGAACAUCCAGGACUGAUCUUCUUUAGAAUGGACUGGCUGGAUCUCCUUGCAGUCCAAGGGACUCCCAAGAGUCUUCUCCAACACCACAGUUCAAAAGCAUCAAUUCUUCGGCGCUCAGCUUUCUUCACAGUCCAUAUAUGUGCAAAUGAAAAAAUGUCUUAUUCUUAACUCUGAUAAUUACACAGCAAACCCCGCAUUUAUACCGGUGUUGGCGAUCUUGGCAGAACAUGAACUCCUCGCCUUUCAGGAGUUGCUAGUUCCCUUAAGCCUCAGACUUCUUUAAAGUCUAGCUGAACUAAAAGGAGUUUCUGGAUAGUUAUGCAGGACUAGAGCGAAACGGAGGAUCCCACAGUUCCUGCGAAUCGGGGCUUGUGGAGGCGGUUAUACUCUGCAGAUUACGGCAGUGGGCGGGCCCCAAAUCCCCAUGUGGUCCCGACAUCAUUGACAUGGCGGAAUCCCCCAUCUAACCCUCCUGGUAGUUAUUUGAGCGGCGGCGGCGGCCGGAGGAGGAGGAGAUCGGCGGUGGGGACGGCGGCGGCGGCGGCGGGAGCAGCGAAGGGGCGGCAGGGAUUCUCGGGGCUGUCGGCUGGGGAGGCGUGGGAGACCCGGUGUGUGGCGCGCCCGGAGCCCCGCGUUUCAGCCCCAGGGAAGGUAAGGGAUGCAGGAGCGGGAGUCUGGAGGGGACCGGGAUCCCAAGUCUCUGCCGCCGCUCUCGGCGCGCUGGAAAGCCCCGUCCGGACGCAGAGUCUGCCAAAGUGCGUGCCUGUCCCGGAGCGCUUCGGGAGCGCCGGGCUUCCCGAGGAAAACUUGCCGCCAGAGUGCUGGGGCGCCCUGCGCUGAUCUGGGCACCCCGGGAACAGGGGGCCCGGUGUGGGGGGUGCCGGCCUGCGCUUUGGGGCCGCGUCUUACUGGUCUCCCGGCCCCCGCUCAUCCAUACAGCUGGCCAAGGUUUGGAGGAGGGAAAGAAACGGGUAGAUUCUUUCUUGAUGGGGAAAAAAAAAAUCUGGGCAGUGGUUCCCGGGCUCUCCCUCCCCCCUCGCCCUCCCUAGCCUUCCCAGCAGAUUUUGUCCGAGGAAUCCGCUCCCCCUCCCGGAAUCUCCGCGGCAGGAACGCUGCCCAGGAGGGGGAGGGCGGGCGGAGAGGCCGAGGAAUCUUCGACGUGUCACUUUCUGAGGCUGUAGAUUUCCAUAUGGUGGAGGGAGG
This is a long non-coding RNA of Bos taurus (domestic cattle), 4707 nucleotides long. NCBI's taxonomy places the organism in Eukaryota, Metazoa, Chordata, Mammalia, Artiodactyla, Bovidae. The record is from Ensembl.